This 253-nucleotide ribosomal RNA is filed under the name uncultured bacterium. RNAcentral describes it as "partial 16S ribosomal RNA". It matches the Rfam family "Bacterial small subunit ribosomal RNA", at positions 524 to 776 of the family's 1533-position model. The record is from RNAcentral.
UACGUAGGGGGCGAGCGUUGUCCGGAUUUACUGGGCGUAAAGAGCGCGUAGGCGGCCUGUUAAGUUGUUUGUGAAAGUCCCUGGCCUAACUGGGGAAAGUCGGACAAGACUGGCAGGCUUGAGAGCGGUAGAGGAAGGUGGAAUUCCGGGUGUAGUGGUGAAAUGCGUAGAUAUCCGGAGGAACACCGGUGGCGAAGGCGGCCUUCUGGGCCGUUUCUGACGCUGAGGCGCGAAAGCGUGGGGAGCGAACCGA